This 185-nucleotide ribosomal RNA is filed under the name uncultured bacterium. Its description in RNAcentral is "partial 16S ribosomal RNA". It matches the Rfam family "Bacterial small subunit ribosomal RNA", at positions 1319 to 1500 of the family's 1533-position model. The record is from RNAcentral.
CAUGAAGCUGGAAUCGCUAGUAAUCGCGGAUCAGAAUGCCGCGGUGAAUACGUUCCCGGGCCUUGUACACACCGCCCGUCACACCAUGAGAGUUGGCAAUACCCAACGUACGUGAUCUAACCCGCAAGGGAGGAAGCGUCCUAAGGUAGGGUCAGCGAUUGGGGGUGAAGUCGUAACAAGGUAAC